GUUCAGCUGAUGAGUCCCAAAUAGAACGAAAUGUGGGUCCUGUAU
RNAcentral lists this non-coding RNA (45 nucleotides) under Schistosoma mansoni. Lineage: Eukaryota; Metazoa; Platyhelminthes; Trematoda; Strigeidida; Schistosomatidae. The record is from RNAcentral.